CGCUUGACCUCGGAUCAGGUAGGGAUACCCGCUGAACUUAAGCAUAUCAAUAAGCGGAGGAAAAGAAACCAACAGGGAUUGCCCUAGUAACGGCGAGUGAAGCGGCAACAGCUCAAAUUUGAAAUCUGGCGCUUUUAGCGUCCGAGUUGUAAUUUGCAGAGGGCGCUUUGGCGUUGGCAGCGGUCCAAGUUCCUUGGAACAGGUCGUCACAGAGGGUGAGAAUCCCGUACGUGGCCGCGUGUCUUCGCCGUGUAAAGCCCCUUCGACGAGUCGAGUUGUUUGGGAAUGCAGCUCUAAAUGGGAGGUAAAUUUCUUCUAAAGCUAAAUACUGGCCAGAGACCGAUAGCGCACAAGUAGAGUGAUCGAAAGAUGAAAAGCACUUUGGAAAGAGAGUCAAACAGCACGUGAAAUUGUUGAAAGGGAAGCGCUUGCAGCCAGACUUGCCUGCCGUUGCUCAUCCGGGCUUUUGCCCGGUGCACUCUUCGGUAGGCAGGCCAGCAUCAGUUUGGGCGGUGGGACAAAGGUCUCUGUCACGUACCUCCCUUCGGGGAGGCCUUAUAGGGGAGACGCCAUGCCACCAGCCUGGACUGAGGUCCGCGCAUCUGCUAGGAUGCUGGCGUAAUGGCUGUAAGCGGCCCGUCUUGAAACACGGACCAAGGAGUCUAACAUCUAUGCGAGUGUUUGGGUGUCAAGCCCAAGCGCGCAAUGAAAGUGAACGGAGGUGGGACCCCGCAAGGGUGCACCAUCGACCGAUCCUGAUGUCUUCGGAUGGAUUUGAGUAAGAGCAUGGCUGUUGGGACCCGAAAGAUGGUGAACUAUGCUUGAAUAGGGUGAAGCCAGAGGAAACUCUGGUGGAGGCUCGCAGCGGUUCUGACGUGCAAAUCGAUCGUCAAAUUUGGGCAUAGGGGCGAAAGACUAAUCGAACUAUCUAGUAGCUGGUUCCUGCCGAAGUUUCCCUCAGGAUAGCAGUAACGUAUUCAGUUUUAUGAGGUAAAGCGAAUGAUUAGAGGCCUGGGGGUUGAAAACAACCUUCACCUAUUCUCAAACUUUAAAU
This 1054-nucleotide ribosomal RNA is filed under the name uncultured Ascomycota. RNAcentral describes it as "eukaryotic LSU rRNA". It matches the Rfam family "Eukaryotic large subunit ribosomal RNA", at positions 1 to 1070 of the family's 3401-position model. The record is from RNAcentral. Lineage: Eukaryota; Fungi; Ascomycota.